UCUGGUGUCCAUAGCGUCUUGGUACCACCCCUUCCCUUCCGAACAGGACCGUGAAACGAGACCGCGCCGAUGAUAUUGCACUUCACCGUGUGGAGAAAGUAGGUCAACGCCAGAC
Molecule: ribosomal RNA, 115 nt
Filed under: Sulfuritalea sp.
Lineage: Bacteria; Pseudomonadati; Pseudomonadota; Betaproteobacteria; Nitrosomonadales; Sterolibacteriaceae
Source: RNAcentral